RNAcentral lists this ribosomal RNA (498 nucleotides) under Brevundimonas vesicularis. Its description in RNAcentral is "bacterial SSU rRNA". It matches the Rfam family "Bacterial small subunit ribosomal RNA", at positions 369 to 885 of the family's 1533-position model. The record is from RNAcentral. Lineage: Bacteria; Pseudomonadati; Pseudomonadota; Alphaproteobacteria; Caulobacterales; Caulobacteraceae.
CAAUGGGCGAAAGCCUGACGCAGCCAUGCCGCGUGAAUGAUGAAGGUCUUAGGAUUGUAAAAUUCUUUCACCGGGGACGAUAAUGACGGUACCCGGAGAAGAAGCCCCGGCUAACUUCGUGCCAGCAGCCGCGGUAAUACGAAGGGGGCUAGCGUUGCUCGGAAUUACUGGGCGUAAAGGGAGCGUAGGCGGACAUUUAAGUCAGGGGUGAAAUCCCGGGGCUCAACCUCGGAAUUGCCUUUGAUACUGGGUGUCUUGAGUAUGAGAGAGGUGUGUGGAACUCCGAGUGUAGAGGUGAAAUUCGUAGAUAUUCGGAAGAACACCAGUGGCGAAGGCGACACACUGGCUCAUUACUGACGCUGAGGCUCGAAAGCGUGGGGAGCAAACAGGAUUAGAUACCCUGGUAGUCCACGCCGUAAACGAUGAUUGCUAGUUGUCGGGAUGCAUGCAUUUCGGUGACGCAGCUAACGCAUUAAGCAAUCCGCCUGGGGAGUACGG